This is a non-coding RNA of Oryctolagus cuniculus (rabbit), 1057 nucleotides long. The record is from RefSeq and is a predicted model, not a curated record. Lineage: Eukaryota; Metazoa; Chordata; Mammalia; Lagomorpha; Leporidae.
AAAAUUGGCCGUUUUCCUAUUAGCAUAUGAGGAACCUAAGAAUGUUCCUUGUUGUCAAGGCAACAGCUGUUCCUUGGGUAGCUGCAACAGAAAAGAAGCCAGAGCAAUCUUCAUAGGAUCAAGUUUUUUAUCAUCAAAUCGUAGAAAGGAACCUUGAGAAUCUAGCCUAUUCUCCUGCCUUUAGUUAAGGCCCACUAAAAUAAUGUGAAACCAAUAUGAAAAGAGAAAGUCCUAUUUUAAAUACGUCUAAAAGAACUUACAUAGCUUUCUUUGAUUGAUUAUUUGUAGUUGUAUAGUGUGUAUUGCAAAUAAAUUUUUUCAAUAAUUCUAACUUAAGUCUUUCACACUAUCUCUUGAAAUUCACUUCCUACAGGUCCAUUCUCAGUAAGGCUAAACACCGGUACCCCGAAAGAACAGGACACAUGCAGCUGUCAAUCUGUCUACUCAGGCUCUGACUCCAACCUCAGAAAAUGCUUCAAUUCAAUGAAACUAAAGGCACUUUGGUCUCUGGAAUUAGAUCCUGUUAUCAAUGACUUCCACAUGGAAAGAUCAUUCCAAAAUGUGUAAUUAACCAAGAAAAUGCAAAUAAACCAAUUUGUACCUGCUAUUUAGAGAAUCUACAGUUGAAGUUGAUUUGCAACAAUGUUUUAACACCACACCAUUGAAGGAGCAGUGCCUCAUCAAUGAUUUUUUUGCUCAGCCUUUCAAGACCUCAUCACCUGAUACAUCCUAGGAAAAUUGUAAUCAUAACUAAGCAAAAGAAAAUACUUAACAAGAAUUCAUCUUAGGUGAUUGGGAACUUUGGACUUCAAAACCCUCUGAAAAUAAAAGCUUUUCACCUGUCCUUAAGCUAAGAGGUCAAGUAUUCAUUGACCAAUAAAGACCACUGCCCCCAUCAACUAGAAAACACCCUUUGAAAUCCAAUUAACUCUUGUACAAGAGAGCCUUCAUUUUCCAUUUUAUCAGAAAGUUAAAUUUGCCAUUCUAUACUCCAAUAAAGUUAAGUUGUUUAGAUCUGAUAAUUCUAAGAUGUUCUGUAUGUAUCUUAAUUUGUAAG